CGGGCAGUGGCGCAGGUGGCUAGCGCAUUCGUCUGGGGGGCGAAAGGUCGGUGGUUCAAGUCCACUCUGUCCGACCA
Molecule: transfer RNA, 77 nt
Filed under: Oligoflexia bacterium
Lineage: Bacteria; Pseudomonadati; Bdellovibrionota; Oligoflexia
Description: tRNA-Pro
Rfam family: tRNA
About the family: Transfer RNA (tRNA) molecules are approximately 80 nucleotides in length.
Source: RNAcentral